RNAcentral lists this ribosomal RNA (621 nucleotides) under Vibrio rotiferianus. RNAcentral's name for it is "bacterial SSU rRNA". It matches the Rfam family "Bacterial small subunit ribosomal RNA", at positions 420 to 1033 of the family's 1533-position model. The record is from RNAcentral. Lineage: Bacteria; Pseudomonadati; Pseudomonadota; Gammaproteobacteria; Vibrionales; Vibrionaceae.
GGGUUGUAAAGCACUUUCAGUCGUGAGGAAGGUAGUGUAGUUAAUAGCUGCAUUAUUUGACGUUAGCGACAGAAGAAGCACCGGCUAACUCCGUGCCAGCAGCCGCGGUAAUACGGAGGGUGCGAGCGUUAAUCGGAAUUACUGGGCGUAAAGCGCAUGCAGGUGGUUUGUUAAGUCAGAUGUGAAAGCCCGGGGCUCAACCUCGGAAUUGCAUUUGAAACUGGCAGACUAGAGUACUGUAGAGGGGGGUAGAAUUUCAGGUGUAGCGGUGAAAUGCGUAGAGAUCUGAAGGAAUACCGGUGGCGAAGGCGGCCCCCUGGACAGAUACUGACACUCAGAUGCGAAAGCGUGGGGAGCAAACAGGAUUAGAUACCCUGGUAGUCCACGCCGUAAACGAUGUCUACUUGGAGGUUGUGGCCUUGAGCCGUGGCUUUCGGAGCUAACGCGUUAAGUAGACCGCCUGGGGAGUACGGUCGCAAGAUUAAAACUCAAAUGAAUUGACGGGGGCCCGCACAAGCGGUGGAGCAUGUGGUUUAAUUGGAUGCAACGCGAAGAACCUUACCUACUCUUGACAUCCAGUGAACUUUCCAGAGAUGGAUUGGUGCCUUCGGGAACUCUGAG